Molecule: ribosomal RNA, 253 nt
Filed under: uncultured bacterium
Lineage: Bacteria
Description: partial 16S ribosomal RNA
Rfam family: Bacterial small subunit ribosomal RNA
Source: RNAcentral
UACGUAGGUGGCAAGCGUUGUCCGGAUUUACUGGGCGUAAAGGAUGCGUAGGUGGCCAACUAAGUCAGACGUGAAAUCCCUCGGCUUAACCGGGGAACUGCGUCUGAUACUGGAUGGCUUGAGGUUGGGAGAGGGAUGCGGAAUUCCAGGUGUAGCGGUGAAAUGCGUAGAUAUCUGGAGGAACACCGGUGGCGAAGGCGGCAUCCUGGACCAAUUCUGACGCUGAGGAGCGAAAGCCAGGGGAGCAAACGGG